UACGGAGGGUGCAAGCGUUAUCCGGAUUCACUGGGUUUAAAGGGUGCGUAGGUGGCUUUGUACGUCAGUGGUGAAAUCUUAGAGCUUAACUCUAAAACUGCCAUUGAUACUGCUUAGCUUGAAUCAAGUAGAGGUGGAUGGAAUAUUACAUGUAGCGGUGAAAUGCUUAGAUAUGUAAUAGAACACCGAUUGCGAAGGCAGUUCACUAUGCUUGUAUUGACACUGAGGCACGAAAGCGUGGGGAUCAAACAGG
Molecule: ribosomal RNA, 253 nt
Filed under: uncultured bacterium
Lineage: Bacteria
Description: partial 16S ribosomal RNA
Rfam family: Bacterial small subunit ribosomal RNA
Source: RNAcentral